This 433-nucleotide ribosomal RNA is filed under the name uncultured bacterium. RNAcentral's name for it is "partial 16S ribosomal RNA". It matches the Rfam family "Bacterial small subunit ribosomal RNA", at positions 29 to 507 of the family's 1533-position model. The record is from RNAcentral.
AACGAACGCUGGCGGCAUGCCUAACACAUGCAAGUCGAACGAGACCUUCGGGUCUAGUGGCGCACGGGUGCGUAACGCGUGGGAACCUGCCCUUAGGUUCGGAAUAACUCCCCGAAAGGGGUGCUAAUACCGGAUAAUGUCUUCGGACCAAAGAUUUAUCGCCUUUGGAUGGGCCUGCGUUGGAUUAGCUAGUUGGUAGGGUAAACGCCUACCAAGGCGACGAUCCAUAGCUGGUCUGAGAGGAUGAUCAGCCACACUGGGACUGAGACACGGCCCAGACUCCUACGGGAGGCAGCAGUGGGGAAUAUUGGACAAUGGGCGAAAGCCUGAUCCAGCAAUGCCGCGUGAGUGAUGAAGGCCUUAGGGUUGUAAAGCUCUUUUACCCGGGAUGAUAAUGACAGUACCGGGAGAAUAAGCACCGGCUAACUCCGUG